Molecule: ribosomal RNA, 429 nt
Filed under: Actinomycetes bacterium
Lineage: Bacteria; Bacillati; Actinomycetota; Actinomycetes
Description: Actinobacteria bacterium partial 16S ribosomal RNA
Rfam family: Bacterial small subunit ribosomal RNA
Source: RNAcentral
UAGGGAAUCUUCCGCAAUGGGCGAAAGCCUGACGGAGCAACGCCGCGUGAGUGAUGAAGGUCUUCGGAUCGUAAAACUCUGUUAUUAGGGAAGAACAAAUGUGUAAGUAACUAUGCACGUCUUGACGGUACCUAAUCAGAAAGCCACGGCUAACUACGUGCCAGCAGCCGCGGUAAUACGUAGGUGGCAAGCGUUAUCCGGAAUUAUUGGGCGUAAAGCGCGCGUAGGCGGUUUUUUAAGUCUGAUGUGAAAGCCCACGGCUCAACCGUGGAGGGUCAUUGGAAGCUGAAAAACUUGAGUGCAGAAGAGGAAAGUGGAAUUCCAUGUGUAGCGGUGAAAUGCGCAGAGAUAUGGAGGAACACCAGUGGCGAAGGCGACUUUCUGGUCUGUAACUGACGCUGAUGUGCGAAAGCGUGGGGAUCAAACAGG